CUUCAACUCACAGGACUGCGAUGUUGAAACGGACACCCAAGAGCAUCACAGAUGGGCCAGGCCUGGACCUCUCGGGACAACAUUCCUCACGACUUUUAGAUAGAAGAGAUUAGAGAUUUGGGACUGGUGGCAACUGGUAACGUUUUCAGUGUUUGGUAAACAGCCAGGGUCCGGAGCUCUGGGAACAGCCUGAUUUAGCUCUUUGUUUAAGUUUUGUGUUAGAGGCUCCCAAGAAGCUGAUGCAGGGGAAAGAAAUUAACAACCAUGGCUCAUUCACAGCCAGGCAGCCAAAUGGACAGCUCUAUAAGACUCAAGCCGACAGCGGAGAGAGUGCAACCAAACAGCCUUGGCCCAGCUUUCAGAGGAGAACGUUAUUCACCCCAACUGCUCUGCAUCUGCCUGGAUGUCUGCCAAGAUCUUCUUCUUUCCACCAAUGACCCCUCGCGCUGCUUCCAGAAGCCAAGAAAGUGGGCUUUGUCCUUGGGGAUUUAGGAGGCGGAGCGGCGCCCCCUUGAGGCCACAUGGUGGAGGCAGCGAUGAGACCUGGAGUCUAAAAUUCAGACUGAAUCACAGGAAGAAGCUAUUUACACAAGUCAAACAUGGUCCAAUCUUGGCAAUUUCAUAAGGUUCCAAUCCUUAAGGGAUCAAAACCUGGCCAACUGCUUCCACCGAGAGGUGUGCCUUUCAAUGCCAGGCUUGGAGUGUCCCUCUUUAUUUAAAAAGGAGAGGAUUCCACAGCAGAGCUUCUCAAACUCUUCCACCCAAAUCCCCUCACCACAGAGGGACAGGAGUCCUGGGCAUGUAGCCUAAAGCAGCCAGGAGAAAAAAACCUUGACCUUAAUUUUUUUAAUGAUUUCACAUGAAUCAGUGGAAUGUGUUUAUGAUAAAAUCAUCUCCUCCUGAAAUACAUGUGUAAAACUGCUGCCCCAGUUAAACGCACUUAGUCUAACCAAGCCCUAGGAUUGGCCUCUCCAGCAUGAGAAGCAUUUCCAGCACUCCAGCUCCCCAGCUCCCACUCUGGGAUCCCACCUCAGACCCUCCCACUUCCUUGCACUCUGGCCUCUCGCUCUUGACCCUGCUCCCGCCACGCUCUUUCCUCAGAGUCCAUCAGUCCUGUCUUGUCUUCACCUUGGUCUCUGCCAAGUGUGGGUCCAAGUCAUAUAUUUGGGCUGUGAUCACAGGAACCCCAAGCCCCAGACCUCCCAAAGCACCCUAUGGAGAGACCUUACCCUCCUGGACAGACCCUCUCCCCCCAGCUAGACCUCAUCCUCUGGGUAGACCCAUCUCCCCAACCAGAACUCACCCUCCUGAGUAAACCCCAUCCCCCUAGCUAGACUUCAUCCUCCUGGACAGAUCCCAUCCCCCCAGCUAGACCUCACCCUCUUGGGUAGAUGCAUCUCCCCAACCAGAACUCUCCUGGGUAGACCCCUUCUACCCAGCUAGACCUGAUCCUCUGGACAGACCCCAUCAUCCCAGCUAGACUUCUCCCUCCUGGACUGUCCCCAUCCCCCCUCCAGCCAGACCUCACCCCUCUGGGUAGACCCCAUCCCCCCAACUAGACCUCACCCUCCUGGAUGGACUCUACCCUCCUGGAGAUACCUUCCCCUCCUGGGUACAUCCCACGUGGCUACACACUCCUUCCCCUGUCAGCUUUCUCCCCCAGGGUUCUGGGCAGCAGAGUCUGUGAUAAAGGAUACUAAGUGAUUCCCCAAUACUUCCCGUUUCCAGCCUCCAGUGGGCUCUCCCUGGGGCUAACGGUUCUUUUUGCUAUUUCUCCAGGCUUUGCCUGAUGACAAGUAUACUCUGAGAGUGUCCUAAUGAUACAGAUUUUGGACCCUAUCCCAGUUCUACUGAAUCCAAGUCUCUGGGGGAGGAGUUGGGGCUCUGCAUCUGGACACCUUCCUGCAGGGUCCCUCCUGGGAGGCAAGCCCGGGGAGCACCGCUGAGGCUCGCCUCAGUGCCCAUCCUAGACCUUCAGCAGCUAGCAGAGGAUGUCCCCACCAUCCCUCAGCCCACACUCCCACUGUCGCCCCAGCCAGGCUUGGCACUGCCUCCUUUCUCAGAAGAUUAAGACCAUCUGCUGUUUCCCAAGUUUCCCACCCUCCACCCUAAAAAUUUCUCCGUUUCCCAGUCUUUCCUCGUCUCUCAGAAAAUAAACAUCUUCCCAGGCUGCCUCCCCAGUGGGUCUGCACUCCUUGCUGUCUUCCCAGCACCUGCCCUUCCAGCCCGCCCUCUGUGUGUCCAGUGUUUCCCUCACCAAAGGACUCGCUUUGUUUUUCAAAUUGGAGGUUUUGUCUUCUCCCUAAAAACCAAAACAUCUCCCUGAGAAGUAACUCCCUCAAGCUACUGAUACGGAAGGGGGGCGGGGAAGUGCUGGGAAGGGAAGGGUGUGGUCCCUGGCUAGGGCUCCACCCCCGGGCCUGUGCCCACAGACCUAGGUGAGGACAGGCAUUUCUGUUUUCGUGCUUAAAUGUUGGAUUUCCCAAGACUACCCUGGCCUACCACACCCUCAUUCUGUGCCUGUAAAAAAACCUGAGAGCUUAGCAGGCACGCACACAAGCCUCUGGACGUCAAGAGGAACACACCGGUGUAAGAGCAGACUGAUAGUGGCCCACGGCAGGCUGGCAGGCCAUCGACAGGCAGAACCACUCAGUGCAGCUGGAGGACAGCCUGGCCACGGAGCGGUCCGACUUCAGAGGGGAAAACCACCUCCCCACUCCGUCUCCCUUCUGGCUCCCCCAUCUGAGAGCUACUUCCACUCAAUAAAACCUUGCACUCAUUCUCCAAGCCCAUGUGUGAUCUGAUUCUUUUGGUGCACGGAGGCAAGAAACCUCAGGAUACAGAAAGCCUCUGUCCUUGGAAUAAGGCAGGAGGUCUAACAGCUGACUAGGGAUGGCUCAACUGAAACAGCA
Molecule: long non-coding RNA, 2912 nt
Filed under: Homo sapiens (human)
Lineage: Eukaryota; Metazoa; Chordata; Mammalia; Primates; Hominidae
Description: non-protein coding lnc-F13A1-3:7
Source: RNAcentral